Molecule: non-coding RNA, 440 nt
Organism: Triplophysa dalaica
Lineage: Eukaryota; Metazoa; Chordata; Actinopteri; Cypriniformes; Nemacheilidae
Source: the annotation of a RefSeq genome assembly
GAGACUUUGGUUAAACUGCUUUUUUCGGUCUCAGACUUAACACUUCAACAAUGAACCUUCAUACUUUUUUUCUUGUCUGUGCAUUAUCAGCUGCUGUGUUUGGAAAUGUCAUCACACCAAACAGAACAGAUGUUACUGCUGAGGAGGGUUCAGAUAUCAUAUUGUCCUGUAGUUAUUCCUCUGGAGAUUAUCUACACUGGUACCGUCAGUUUAACAGAUUUCAUCCUGAUUUUAUUGUUCUCACCUACAACAGUGAAAAAGAAGCUCAGCCGUCUGAUGUCGAUCCAAGAUUCUCAGUUAAAGUCACAAAAGGAAAACAAGCUCAUGUGGAUCUUAAGAUCUCAUCUGUUAAAGUCACAGACUCUGCUCUGUAUUACUGCGCCCUGCAGCCCACAGUGACAGGAAACACAUCGGCUCACUACAAAAACCUUUUCCAAUGA